This 497-nucleotide ribosomal RNA is filed under the name uncultured bacterium. RNAcentral's name for it is "partial 16S ribosomal RNA". It matches the Rfam family "Bacterial small subunit ribosomal RNA", at positions 28 to 507 of the family's 1533-position model. The record is from RNAcentral.
GAUGAACGCUGGCGGCGUGCCUAAUACAUGCGAGUCGAGCGCACAGACGAGGAGCUUGCUCCGCUGACGUUAGCGGCGGAGGGGGGAGUAACGCGUGUAUAACCUACCUAUAAGACUGACAAAACUGCGGGAAAGCGGAGCUAAUACCGGAUAAUCUAUUGAACCACGGGGUUCGAUAGUGAAAGUCGGUUUUGCUGUCACGUAUAGAGGGAUCCGAGCCGAAUUGGCUAGUUGGUAAGGUAACGGCUUACCAAUGCAACGAUGCGUAGCCGAACGGAGAGGGGGCUAGCCCACCUUGGAACGGAGCCACGGUCCAGACUGCUAAGGGAGGAACCAGUAGGGAACCGUACGCAAUGGGCGAAAGCAUGACGCAGUAACGCCGCGUGAGUGAUGGCAGUCUUCGGAUCGUAAAACUCUGUUAUUAGGGAAGAACAACUGUCUACGUAAAUAUGCACGUCGUGACGGUACCUAAUAAGAAAGCAACGGCUAACUACGUG